RNAcentral lists this unclassified non-coding RNA (247 nucleotides) under uncultured fungus. RNAcentral's name for it is "partial contains 18S rRNA, ITS1, 5.8S rRNA, ITS2 and 28S rRNA". The record is from RNAcentral. Lineage: Eukaryota; Fungi.
AAGGAUCAUUAACGAAUAGAACAAAGCCCCACGGGCUGAUGCUGGCUCCUCGGAGCACGUGCACGCCCGGGGGCGACUUCAUUCGCCCUUACCCCCCUUGUGCACUCCAUGUAGGUCGCCGGUGGCCCCUCGGGCCUCGACGCCUACGAAUUCGUCUUUGUACGCACCCCGAUCGCAUGUCUUAAGAGUAACAAUUACAAUGUGAUAACACAAAAUACAACUUUCAACAACGGAUCUCUUGGCUCUC